GAUGAACGCUGGCGGCGUGCCUAAUACAUGCAAGUCGAACGAGGUGCUUGAGUAGCAAUACAAGAGUAUCCUAGUGGCGAACGGGUGAGUAACGCGUGGAUGACCUGCCCCAAAGUGUGGGAUAACAGUCCGAAAGGAUUGCUAAUACCUCAUGUGGUUAUCGGAUUUAGAAACUGAUAACUAAAGCAGCAAUGCGCUUUGGGAGGGAUCUGCGUCCCAUCAGCUAGUUGGUGAGGUAACGGCUCACCAAGGCGACGACGGGUAGGGGACCUGAGAGGGUGGCCCCCCACAAUGGAACUGAACAACGGUCCAUACACCUACGGGUGGCAGCAGUAGGGAAUAUUGCUCAAUAGGGCGAAAGACCUUAACGACAGCGAACGACCGCGUGUGCGAUGAAGGCC
This 401-nucleotide ribosomal RNA is filed under the name uncultured bacterium. Its description in RNAcentral is "bacterial SSU rRNA". It matches the Rfam family "Bacterial small subunit ribosomal RNA", at positions 28 to 416 of the family's 1533-position model. The record is from RNAcentral.